CCCUAUUCUUGGAAUCUGAUUGCCAAUGUGUUAUACCUGGAGUCCCCAGCUGGGGUGGGCUUCUCCUACUCCGAUGACAAGUUUUAUGCAACUAAUGACACUGAGGUCGCCCAGAGCAAUUUUGAGGCCCUUCAAGAUUUCUUCCGCCUCUUUCCGGAGUACAAGAACAACAAACUUUUCCUGACCGGGGAGAGCUAUGCUGGCAUCUACAUCCCCACCCUGGCCGUGCUGGUCAUGCAGGACCCCAGCAUGAACCUUCAGGGGCUGGCUGUGGGCAAUGGACUCUCCUCCUAUGAGCAGAAUGACAACUCCCUGGUCUACUUUGCCUACUACCAUGGCCUUCUGGGGAACAGGCUUUGGUCUUCUCUCCAGACCCACUGCUGCUCUCAAAACAAGUGUAACUUCUAUGACAACAAAGACCCGGAAUGCGUGACAAAUGUGAGGUUCUACUGUCACUUUGCAUCAGCUCUCCCAUCCCUAAUCCUGAGAACGGGACCACAUUCCCUCCUUAGGGACUCCUUGUUCUCCACCCUCAUUGCUUUCUUACACCUUUAAGCAAUUUAGUGUUCUCUGGGACAUGUGUCUAAGUGUGUAUUCCCACCACCACCACCUCCUAUGGUGGCAAAUCCCAUAACCUCUGUGAGGGAGAAAGGACUUCUUCACAUUUAUCAAACUCCUGCAAUGUGGCAGGCACUGUG
RNAcentral lists this small RNA (698 nucleotides) under Pongo abelii (Sumatran orangutan). RNAcentral's name for it is "retained intron". The record is from RNAcentral. Lineage: Eukaryota; Metazoa; Chordata; Mammalia; Primates; Hominidae.